Molecule: ribosomal RNA, 253 nt
Filed under: uncultured bacterium
Lineage: Bacteria
Description: partial 16S ribosomal RNA
Rfam family: Bacterial small subunit ribosomal RNA
Source: RNAcentral
UACGUAGGGGGCAAGCGUUUUCCGGAUUUAUUGGGCGUAAAGAGCGUGUAGGCGGCUUGGUAGGUCCGCUGUGAAAACUCGAGGCUCAACCUCCAGACGUCGACGGAAACCGUGUGGCUAGAGUCCGGAAGAGGAGAGUGGAAUUCCUGGUGUAGCGGUGAAAUGCGCAGAUAUCAGGAAGAACACCAAUGGCGAAGGCAGCUCUCUGGGACGGUACUGACGCUGAGACGCGAAAGCGUGGGGAGCGAACAGG